GUCUGGUAUCGAUGGCAAUACCGGUGCAAACCGGUAUGGGGGUAAUCUGACAACAGUCAGGACGGCAUCUGCCGCGAACGGCUCAGCGAGCCGGGGAACCCCGCAAUAACUCAACACACUGUCACCCCGGUGCACAGAUACCGA
RNAcentral lists this small RNA (144 nucleotides) under Morganella psychrotolerans. RNAcentral's name for it is "EFASI RNA". It matches the Rfam family "EFASI RNA". Lineage: Bacteria; Pseudomonadati; Pseudomonadota; Gammaproteobacteria; Enterobacterales; Morganellaceae. The record is from RNAcentral.